AAUAUUGCGCAAUGGGGGAAACCCUGACGCAGCAACGCCGCGUGAGCGAUGAAGGCCUUCGGGUCGUAACGCUCUGUCCUUGGGGAUGAAUAAUGACAGUACCCAUGGAGGAAGCCCCGGCUAACUACUUGCCAGCAGCCGCGGUAAUACGUAGGGGGCAAGCGUUGUCCGGAAUUACUGGGCGUAAAGGGCGCGUAGGCGGUCUUGUAAGUCAGAUGUGAAAGUCCAGGGCUCAACCGUGGAAUUGCAUUUGAAACUAUAGGACUUGAGUGCAGGAGAGGAGAGCGGAAUUCCUAGUGUAGCGGUGAAAUGCGUAGAGAUUAGGAAGAACACCAGUGGCGAAGGCGGCUCUCUGGACUGUAACUGACGCUGAGGCGCGAAAGCGUGGGUAGCGAACA
RNAcentral lists this ribosomal RNA (398 nucleotides) under uncultured bacterium. RNAcentral describes it as "partial 16S ribosomal RNA". It matches the Rfam family "Bacterial small subunit ribosomal RNA", at positions 360 to 774 of the family's 1533-position model. The record is from RNAcentral.